Aegilops tauschii subsp. strangulata is the source of this 5225-nucleotide non-coding RNA. The record is from RefSeq and is a predicted model, not a curated record. Lineage: Eukaryota; Viridiplantae; Streptophyta; Magnoliopsida; Poales; Poaceae.
UUCUGCUCUCCCUCCCGAAACCCCCCCGAGCCGCUCCCGUCUCUCCCAUCGCGCAAACAACUCUAGGGUUCCUUGAGCCGCCGCCGCACCGGAGCUCCUCGACCAGCCCCACCUCAUGCCGCUCCACCCAUUGCUUCUCCCUCCGCCCGCGCCGCUCUCUUCCCCGCCGGCGCUGCCCACCACGAGUGGGGAGGCCCCAGAUCGUCUCGAGCAAGUCAGCGGGGCGGUGGCCAGAUCCACCACGGCAACAUCUCGUCCAGAUGGGCCGCGCCGGGAGAGGUAGAUCGAGGCGGCGGGCACCGUGUGCGUCUUGUCUCUUGGGACGCCGCUCCGACCCGAUCCGGCGAGGAGGCAGCCUCCGUCUGCGGCAACGAGGGCGGCGGCCGGCUGCGCGAGAGGUCGAUCUGAUUGUGCCUCCAUGACGGCAUCAUGAUGCCCACCGCCGACGGCGCUGCGUCGCGACCAAAGGGGCACCCGGCCAUGGCCGGGGACUCACUGCAGUUGAAGCACGCCAUCUCGCCACCAUGUAUGUUGUGUGUUCUUGUGCUGCAGGUCCUUGGGGUUGGGUGUUCUUGUCGCCACCAUGUUCAUGCAGGCACAAAUUGGACUGAGAAAUGCUAACAGAGGAGGAGAAGACCAUGCAAGUCCUUGGGGUUGGGUGCGGCAACUCGCGGCUCGAAGACAAUCUUUUGUGGUGGGGCGUCGCUGCCGCCGGCGGCACCUGCAUAGACCGUCUCGCUGGGAACGAAGAGAUGCUCCCCUGAUUUGGAGCUGUAGAAAGGAGGUGGUUGCAGACACAAAGUGGGGACACACAACUCCCAGUCAUAAUAUUCUUUAUCUUGGCUCGUUGUUUGGGGAUGGACGCAUCAAUCUGAUCGCGCUCUCCUCCAUGCCAAACGGAUCCUUGGUUCGGAGGUGCGCGGUGCCGACGAUGACAACCUUUCUAUCGACGCAAGGGCAGCAGGAGCUCAUGACGCUGUUGAUGCCACCACCAUGCACAGGGUUGAUGCAAGGUGGGACAAUGCGAUCACUAAUGGGGAGAACAUAAAACUUCAAUUGAGGGCACUGUGAUUCUCUAGCUACAUGUAUCAUAGCUUCUGCAGGAGGGCGUCACCUGCGGCAUCACUUGCAUCGACCUCUCACCGAUCACCGUCCCGAGGAUGCACGACAGACUGGCGGAGCAGGGCACCAGUGAUUGUUUCACCAAUUUGCUCGACUCAUUGUUCCCUUCCUCUGUCCACGCAACGUUGCCCAUUGUUGCUAAGUUGUUAAUUCAUCAGGCCCAUUAUUGCGGCUACAUAGUCUGUUCAUCUUGCCUGCCUUCUUAGGAGAAACCAAUUUACUGAAGGGCCUGUUCUGAUCUCCUCCAGCUUCUAUCUUCUCAAAAUUCUCGAGUGAAGCAGUCCCGAACGAUUUAGCUCGUAGAAGCUGGAAACGAGAAGCUGAGCGAUCCCAUAGUGCAAAAAAGAGAAGCAACGAAAGCCCAGCUCCACAAUACGAAGAAGUGAGGAGUUCCUACUAAUUACAAGAGGAUGCCACCGCGAAGUGCAAAAAACGAUUCGCGAAACAGCUCCCAGCCGCUGGUGGGAUGCUCGCCUCGCUCGUAUCCUGUGCGAGCGCACGUGGCCAGUACUCCUCCACACAACGAUACAAGGUGGGCUGCCUCCAUCCGGCCCAAACUGGCACCCAACAGAGCAAUAGGCUCUCAGCUGGGCCAAAUCGUGGAGAGAAGCUACGAGCACUGCCGAACGAAUGGAAUCGCCAGGGUGGCAAUUCCGAAGUUAUUGCCUUUCUACUUCAAACUGAAAUAAUUCCUCUUUGUCUUUAAUAUGGAGAUGGGCACUGAACUUUAAAAAACAGUAUGAACUCAACCCCUUCUAUAAAUCAAAUAUUUCAUUUGCGGGGACGACGUGGGGCUCAUGUCGAGCACUUCACCUGCAAUGGGUGUGGCCUUCUCCGUCUGCCAAACAUGCUACAAGUACGAGCACCAUGAGGGAACUGCCUGGAGUGCAAGACCCGCCACAAGCUCCUCAAGGGUCAGUCAGCCUCCACCCACGGCCGAAGGCACUUGCAGAUGUGAAGAAUAUCCAUGUCCGAUUACAUCGCCAGAAAGCAAAAACCAUGAGAGCCCACACUAAUCAUCAAGGGAUUUUUGAAACGAGCAGAAGAUUAGUAACUUCUACGACAUCAAAGAUCUGACCUUUUAGAGUAUGCACCAUAUUGAUUUACUUAUUGAUUUAUUCACAUUAUAUCAGAUUUGUCUUGAACGUGAUACUUUAUUGACUGUACUGGACACGGGAAGUUAACUGUUUUAAUUAUAUAGGAUUAGUCUGCACCAAUUGCUGCAUAAGUUCUCCUUGAUACCAAUUUACAUACUUGUGCUAAUAGGCCUUUGGUCAGUUUGCAACUGGUAUUUUAGACAUGUACGAGUAUUCUCAUGGUAUUUCUAUAUGUUUUAAUUAGUACCAGAUGGAAUUUGCGAAUUAGUCUCUUACAAAGAGAAGAGAAAAGGAAACAUUAUUCACGAGUUUGCAGGAAUAUGGAAACUCAAGGUAGUCUGUUAGCAUAAGUAAAAAAUGUUUUUCAUUUUAUUUCUUGGUUCGACCAAAUUAUAUUUUAUCCGAACGUAUGGAUGAUCGACACAAUGGACGUACGUAGUUUCUGGUUAGCACUACUCGGAUAACAAUUAUGCCUACUAUUACCAUUUUUGUGCAUUGUUUGGUCUUAUGCAUUUUAGUUAAAUACAUCCUUUGUGACAAAUAAUGAUUUUUGAGCAUACUAUCUUCUUUUCAUGUGGGGAGAUCGCUGAUAGAAAAGAAAAUUGUGUUUCUGAUAUGUUAUGCUUAUUUCUAAGUGCUUCCAAUUUCGAACUACUAGGUAUGCAGCAUUAGAUGAACAACUACCUCUUUAUUUGCUUGAGGAUGAUUUGAUUGUGCAAUUAAGACUACAUAAUUUCACUUUUCAUUUAUAUUUGUUGGUGAGGGCGAGCUGCGGCGGCAUGGCGCGCUGGUGCGCGUGACCGCGGGUUCGGCCAGGGUGCGAGCCGAUCUGGCAUGUGCGCUGGCGAAGUAAGGCGUAGAGGUGCUCCGGCCGGCUGGGUGCGUUGGUCCGUGGCGGAGGUGCGAGGUGGGCGUGGAUCUGGCGCCUAGCAUGUGCGAGGGAGGACAUAUGGGCGUUGUGCGUUUCUUCGCGGCGGGAGGUGUGACUGUGCUGCUCUGCAGAUUGAUGAUGUUGUUCUCCUGGUUUCGUGGAUCUGCAGCGGGGUAGCCGAUGGUUGCGGCGCCAGAGAAUGCUGGGGCAGCGGCCUCGGGCUGAUGGCUGCUAUGGCAGGGGCUGCUGCACCGGCUCAGGAUGGUGGAUUUGGAGCGAUGCACUCAGAUCUGACCCUGGCAACCGCGUUGUUUCUAUGUCGCAUGAGUUGCUGCAGCUGGUCGUCGCGUGAGGGCUAUGCCGGCUGACGGCAGGGGGGUUCCCUACACAAUGUGCUUGGCUCUGAUGGUCUGGGUAUCGUUGCGUGACCAGAUUUGCAAGCAAGCUCAUUGAUAGGAGAUCAGGGACUCGGGCGAAAGCUCCGUGACCUUCUUAGAGGCAUAGUCGUAGACAUCUUCCUAUCCUUUCAUGUGCUUGGGUUCUCCGGGUGAGAACCUAAACUCCAGUUUUCUGGAGUGGGUGGCGGCGGCGUUUACGUCGUAACCAUCUUCAGAGGCGUUGCCUUGGAGGGCCAGCCUUUGGAUGCCGUGUGGGGCUCUUUCGUUUUCAAGGGCGGUGUAUGUCGGGGCUGCGGCUCUGGGAUCUUCUAUUAAGUGUCGAGGCUGCGGCCUCGGGCAGUACUGCGACGACAGCUCCAAGAGGUAGGGCUGCUUGUCGGCAUGGCUUGGGCGAGGACCUUGAAGUGCGGAAGCAGCAAGGUUGUCAGCUCCGUCAAUGCGCCCCAGUCGGGACUGUUGGACGACAUGUUGGGGCAGCGGCCCAGGAUGUUGUGGUGCAGCGUUCGUGGUCUAUGUGCGGUUGGCCUGAGCAGCGUGAGCUGCGGGUAUUUGUAUCGUUCGGCGUAGUGCCGGCCAGGUUGUCGCUCAUCCAGGUUGCCGACCGGGAAGAGGUGUAGUGCCGGCCAAGACGAGAACAAGGGGAAGCUGCUUGGUUGUCUGUGUUCAUCAAAGGUGCUCUCUCUUUUCCAUCUUUCUUUUUAUUUACUUAAUCCUAGAUGGGUGACUACUAAUUUCCAUGUCUACUGGGAGGAAGAAGGUUGGCGGACAUAUCUUUGUGACUAUGUCAUUCACGUGCUUUGUUUCAACUCAUAAAGUGGAUCCUUUUUAAGCUAUAUCAAAUCAUAAGACAUAAUUUUCAGUUGAUUUUUUUCUUCUAAUUCCCAGUUUAUUGCUUCACAUAGACUAUUACAUAUUUAUGCUAGCCAAUUCGAAGCUUUGUCCCAAGGGCAAGCAUACCGUUGAAAAAAUAAAUACAUGUACGACAGAUCAGCCAGCAACUUAUUGAUCUGUGAUUCUUUGAAAUUUGAUGCUUAUAACUGUUUAUAAGUCAGUAUUGUUCAAAGCCAAAGAUAAGUAACAAUCUAUUUGGUUAAGUUGAACACUUUCAGAUCAGGAGUAGUAGAAAUUCUUAAGGGCAUUGGGAUAUUGAACUGCAGAUAGCUUUGGCAGGUUUGUUAGGCUAAUAUAAAGUAGGGACCUUUGCUACAUAAUGAUACAAAGAUGAUACCGAAGUUUGUUUUGCAACUAGCAAGUUUCAAGGUCACAUGGAUGCUGACAGCUCUCAGGUGUAUGGCCUAUUUGUUGCUGGGUAUUGUUGCCUUUCUUCCUGGUUUAUACAGCGGAGGAUCCUGAGUUGAUGCAUAUAUUGGCUCAAAAAGUAACUAGGUUCUGAAGUGCAGAUUGACAAGAGCCAUCCAGGGGGCCAGGGCGAUUAGAUGCCCAUCACUCACGGCGGCAAGAAGUUCCGUGUCGAGUUGAUGAACCAGCACCAGCUGGGAGCCCGGAUGAAGAAGGUUGUCCCCGCGGAGAAAAAGGAGAAGUGAUGAGAUGUUUUUGACAGCUAAUGGAUGAUGUUAUCUUAGUCUGUGAAUUUUUGUUUUGGUCGAUUUAGAAACCUUGUUUGAUGUCUGAAGAUCCCUUUUUGCCCACUGUUCAAACCAUCUCUUCAUUUUUGUGUAAAUGGUAACAAUACACUUCAAACAAUUAAGUUGUCAUCCCAAAAAAUAUUUUGUAAAA